RNAcentral lists this non-coding RNA (106 nucleotides) under Thermoanaerobacter pseudethanolicus ATCC 33223. RNAcentral describes it as "Glycine riboswitch aptamer". It matches the Rfam family "Glycine riboswitch aptamer". From Rfam's summary of the family: This family represents the bacterial glycine riboswitch. Lineage: Bacteria; Bacillati; Bacillota; Clostridia; Thermoanaerobacterales; Thermoanaerobacteraceae. The record is from Rfam by way of RNAcentral.
AUGAAGAUAGCGAGAGAUAUCUUUGUAAAAAGAUAGCCGAAGGGGAAAUAUAAAGGCCCGCCAAGCCUUUAUAGAAGCUCUCAGGCAAAAGUAUCGCUAUCGGAUA